GUAGUCCACGCUGUAAACGAUGUGCACUUGGUGUAGGGACGAACGUUUCUGUGCCGGAGCUAACGCGUUAAGUGCACCGCCUGGGGAGUAUGCUCGCAAGGGUGAAACUCAAAGGAAUUGACGGGGGCCCGCACAAGCGGUGGAGCAUGUGGUUUAAUUCGACGCAACGCGAAGAACCUUACCUGGAUUUGACAUCCUCUGACCUCCAUGGAAACAUGGCUUUUUAUGCUUGCAUAAACAGAGUGACAGGUGCUGCAUGGCUGUCGUCAGCUCGUGUCGUGAGAUGUUGGGUUAAGUCCCGCAACGAGCGCAACCCUUGUUUUUAGUUGCCAUUAUUAAGUUAGGCACUCUAGAAAUACUGCCUCGGUUAACGGGGAGGAAGGUGGGGAUGACGUCAAGUCCUCAUGGCCUUUAUAUCCAGGGCUACACACGUGCUACAAUGGGCUGUACAAAGAGUUGCCACUUCGCGAGAAGGAGCUAAUCUCAAAAAGCAGUUCUCAGUUCGGAUUGGAGUCUGCAACUCGACUCCAUGAAGUUGGAAUCGCUAGUAAUCGUGGAUCAGCAUGCCACGGUGAAUACGUUCCCGGGUCUUGUACACACCGCCCGUCACACCACGAAAGUCGGCUGUACCAGAAGUUGCUGGGCUAACCCUUCGGGGAUGCAGGUACCUAAGGUACGGUCGGUAAUUGGGGUG
RNAcentral lists this ribosomal RNA (694 nucleotides) under uncultured bacterium. RNAcentral's name for it is "bacterial SSU rRNA". It matches the Rfam family "Bacterial small subunit ribosomal RNA", at positions 790 to 1482 of the family's 1533-position model. The record is from RNAcentral.